UGUAUCUGAAGUCUGACGAGGAUGAGAACCUCCGGGGGCAAGAGGUUCGACCCGAGCGAAGCGAGAGAACGUUGCGUCAGCAACGGCCCGCAGGGCGAGCCACG
This 104-nucleotide small RNA is filed under the name Salmonella enterica subsp. enterica serovar Infantis. RNAcentral describes it as "partial RtT sRNA". It matches the Rfam family "RtT RNA", at positions 1 to 100 of the family's 130-position model. Rfam says of the family: This family represents a bacterial cis-regulatory element known as RtT RNA. The record is from RNAcentral. Lineage: Bacteria; Pseudomonadati; Pseudomonadota; Gammaproteobacteria; Enterobacterales; Enterobacteriaceae.